This is a long non-coding RNA of Amphimedon queenslandica, 402 nucleotides long. RefSeq lists it as uncharacterized. The record is from RefSeq and is a predicted model, not a curated record. The transcript is spliced from 4 exons. NCBI's taxonomy places the organism in Eukaryota, Metazoa, Porifera, Demospongiae, Haplosclerida, Niphatidae.
CCAAGAGUAAAAGUUAGUAUCAUGAUGUCAUUAUGUAAACUUGAGCUGCUUUCAAUAAAAAAUAACAAUUGUAUUCAUGUGUUGUGUAGUAGUCUGGCUGCACCAGACUAUAGUGUAGCAGCCCUGCCUUGCGUGUACUCAUGAGUGUGCUUUUUGCUGAGAGUGCUGUUUUGACUGUUAACUGCUGUUGUUUUCAAUUAGAGAUUGUAAGAAAUCUGCUGUCUGCCAAACAUGUCAUAUGGUUCAGGAGGUACAACUGGUGAUGAUCAUCAGUUAAACCAAUUGAAGGAACAAGUGGAACAGGCUAAAAAUGUUUUGAAAGACAAAAUUGAUACAGUUUGUGCAAGAGGAGAUCAACUAAGCAAUCUGAUGGACAGAGCAGAGAACUUGAAUGAGGAUGCU